GACGAACGCUGGCGGCGUGCUUAACACAUGCCAGUCGAACGGAAAGGCCCUGCUUUUGUGGGGUGCUCGAGUGGCGAACGGGUGAGUAACACGUGAGUAACCUGCCCUUGACUUUGGGAUAACUUCAGGAAACUGGGGCUAAUACCGGAUAGGAGCUCCUGCUGCAUGGUGGGGGUUGGAAAGUUUCGGCGGUUGGGGAUGGACUCGCGGCUUAUCAGCUUGUUGGUGGGGUAGUGGCUUACCAAGGCUUUGACGGGUAGCCGGCCUGAGAGGGGGACCGGCCACAUUGGGACUGAGAGACGGCCCAGACUCCUACGGGAGGCAGCAGUGGGGAAUAUUGCACAAUGGGCGGAAGCCUGAUGCAGCAACGCCGCGUGCGUGAUGACGGCCUUCGGGUUGUAAACCGCUUUCGCCUGUGACGAAGCGUGAGUGACGGUAAUGGGUAAAGAAGCACCGGCUAACUACGUG
This 468-nucleotide ribosomal RNA is filed under the name uncultured bacterium. RNAcentral's name for it is "partial 16S ribosomal RNA". It matches the Rfam family "Bacterial small subunit ribosomal RNA", at positions 28 to 507 of the family's 1533-position model. The record is from RNAcentral.